GGGUGCCAUCAUACCACCACUAAAUCACCU
Molecule: ribosomal RNA, 30 nt
Filed under: Atractylodes lancea subsp. luotianensis
Lineage: Eukaryota; Viridiplantae; Streptophyta; Magnoliopsida; Asterales; Asteraceae
Source: RNAcentral